Numida meleagris (helmeted guineafowl) is the source of this 217-nucleotide long non-coding RNA. RefSeq lists it as uncharacterized. The record is from RefSeq and is a predicted model, not a curated record. The transcript is spliced from 3 exons. NCBI's taxonomy places the organism in Eukaryota, Metazoa, Chordata, Aves, Galliformes, Numididae.
CACAGCUACACCUGCCAAAGCUGUGCCCAGCUGCUGCUGCUGCCUUGUCUUGGAGUGCUUGCAGAAUCAUGGUGCAAAUUUUGUUAUGUGAUCUACGAUGCCUGGAAAAGUUUGUAGCGAAGAUCACUACAUCUCACAAAAAGGAACUGCCUGGAGUUUCUGCUUCAAUAGGAUAUGAUUUUCUGGAAACCACAUAAAGGAUUCCACUUACCAUAAU